GACGAACGCUGGCGGCGUGCUUAACACAUGCAAGUCGAACGGAAAGGCCUCUUUCGGGGGGUACUCGAGUGGCGAACGGGUGAGAAACACGUGAGUAACCUGCCCUUGACUUUGGGAUAACUUCAGGAAACUGGGGCUAAUACCGGAUAGGAGCUCCUGCUGCAUGGUGGGGGUUGGAAAGUUUCGGCGGUUGGGGAUGGACUCGCGGCUUAUCAGCUUGUUGGUGGGGUAGUGGCUUACCAAGGCUUUGACGGGUAGCCGGCCUGAGAGGGUGACCGGCCACAUUGGGACUGAGAUACGGCCCAGACUCCUACGGGAGGCAGCAGUGGGGAAUAUUGCACAAUGGGUGGAAGCCUGAUGCAGCAACGCCGUGUGCGGGAUGACGGCCUUCGGGUUGUAAACCGCUUUCGCUCAUGACGAAGCUUUGUGUGACGGUAGUGGGUAAAGAAGCACCGGCUAACUACGUG
Molecule: ribosomal RNA, 467 nt
Filed under: uncultured bacterium
Lineage: Bacteria
Description: partial 16S ribosomal RNA
Rfam family: Bacterial small subunit ribosomal RNA
Source: RNAcentral